Molecule: ribosomal RNA, 229 nt
Filed under: uncultured bacterium
Lineage: Bacteria
Description: partial 16S ribosomal RNA
Rfam family: Bacterial small subunit ribosomal RNA
Source: RNAcentral
UGCGUAGGCGGUUUGAUAAGUCAGAGGUGAAAGCCCACAGCUCAACUGUGGAAUUGCCUUUGAUACUGUUAGACUUGAAUCAGGUUGAGGUUGGCGGAAUGUGGCAUGUAGCGGUGAAAUGCAUAGAUAUGCCAUAGAACACCAAUCGCGAAGGCAGCUGACUAGACCUGUAUUGACGCUGAGGCACGAAAGCGUGGGGAGCGAACAGGAUUAGAUACCCUGGUAGUCC